This is a long non-coding RNA of Brienomyrus brachyistius, 2606 nucleotides long. RefSeq lists it as uncharacterized. Lineage: Eukaryota; Metazoa; Chordata; Actinopteri; Osteoglossiformes; Mormyridae. The transcript is spliced from 2 exons. The record is from RefSeq and is a predicted model, not a curated record.
GGAGCAGACAAUUCAUUUCCUGUCAUGGGAUACUGUCCUUAUGCAGCUUGUUAUAUAAUGUGUAUGGUGGUGACUGUGAGGGCAUCGGCGCCAUGCAGGCAUUGGCACACAGCGGCCACCUGGCAGCUGCCCUGUUCAGGCCCCUGAAGAACAGGCAGUGACAGGAGGGAAGGGGCGAGAAGGAGCAGCUUGCUGGGUAAGCUGCAGAACCAAACACCAGCUUAUUCUGAAGCACAUCUCUGGGUUUUACUUCAUUGUCAAUAAAGUUUCCUGUUAGAGUUACAGAGGUCCCUUUCAUUUUCAAACAGCGAUUCAAAUAACAAGAGAAAGUGACAUAACUGUUCAUGGCUCUCUGAAUCCCACAAAUCGCCAUGAGGAACACAUGUGUUAAUGUGCCAGAUAUGGUACCAUGGGAGGAUUAAAAAAUCAGGGGCCCCUGGGCAUGAACCCCACCCCCCAGGUAACUGAAGGAACUUUAGGGGCCCCUAAACACGGAGCCUUAAUAAUUAAUUAGAGUUUUAACUGGGGUAAAUUUAAAUUUGGCUUUGAAAAUGUAUGUAAAAUAAAAAUGUUCUAAAAUAUUCAUCUCCAGUUAAACUACAAAAAGUCUUAUUUUUAAAGCUGAUUCAGACUUUUCAUUAGUGAAAGAUUCAAGAUAAAAACCACAACAUCCAAAGUCAAUCUGAGUGCUGUAAACAUUAAACUUGCAGCUCAAAGCAGUCACACCAAUACCAAAAAGUGCGGAGGGACAAAUGCUACUGCGGCAAAGCUGUGAUAGCGUCUGCUGGCCUGAAGGGGGAGACAGCAGAGCUAAAACCCACAGGCCCAGCUGCUGGGGGAGAAGCUCAGAAGGAUGGAGGUGAAUGAUGCCUUGACAGACUGGAAAACGGAGCUCCUAUGCAGCCCUCAGGGAGUCCGCCUCUGGCCACAUGUCACAGGCAGUACUGAGUAGCACAGAGCACCCCAAGUGACUGUGCAAUUGUCAUUCCUGUUCACUCUCUACAGCACCGACUUCCGGAACAACACCAGCCUUUGCCACCUACAGAAAUUCUCAGAUGAUUCUGCAACUGUGGGGUGCAUCAGUGAGGAGAAGGAAAAGGAGUACAGAGGUCUAAUGGAGAGCUGUGUCGUAUGGCAUAAGGAGAACCACAUACAAGCCAAUGUCAAGAAGACUGGGUGGAAGGUCUUCAGGUGAACCAGUCAACUACUGGCACCUGCCCCCACCAAUGGGGCAAGUCUAGAGAUGGUUCACAGUGACAUGUAGCUGGGAGUCACCAUCCAUGGGGGAGUGUAGAGAUGGUCCACAGUGACAUGUAGCUGGGAUUCACCAUCCAUGGGGAGAGUGUAAAGAUGGUCCACAGUGACAAGUAGCUGGGAUUCACCAUCCAUGGGGAGAGUGUAGAGAUGGUCCACAGUGACAAGUAGCUGGGAUUCACCAUCCAUGGGGAGAGUGUAGAGAUGGUCCACAGUGACAUGUAGCUGGGAGUCACCAUCCAUGGGGGAGUGUAGAGAUGGUCCACAGUGACAUGUAGCUGGGAUUCACCAUCCAUGGGGAGAGUGUAGAGAUGGUCCACGGUGACAUGUAGCUGGGAUUCACCAUCCAUGGGGAGAGUGUAGAGAUGGUCCACAGUGACAUGUAGCUGGGAGUCACCAUCCAUGGAGAGAGUGUAGAGAUGGUCCACAGUGAUAUGUAGCUGGGAGUCACCAUCCAUGGGGAGAGUGUAGAGAUGGUCCACAGUGACAUGUAGCCUGGAGUCACCAUCCACGGGUGUGGGUAGACAUGGUCCACAGUGACAUGUAGCUGGGAUUCACCAUCCAUGGGGAGAGUGUAGAGAUGGUCCACAGUGACAUGUAGCUGGGAUUCACCAUCCAUGGGGAGAGUGUAGAGAUGGUCCACAGUGACAUGUAGCCUGGAGUCACCAUCCACGGGUGUGGGUAGACAUGGUCCACAGUAACAUGUAGUGGGGAAUAACCAUCCAGGGGGAGAGUGUAGAGAUGGUCCAUACUGACAUGUAGCUGGUCCAUGUAGAGAUGGUCGUAUUAUAAUUCAACUUAUUGUCUUUUAUAGCAUAGUGCAAGAAAGUUACAAUCUUAAUGUCAUUGUAAUGUGCUGUGUCAAUGGUACUUGGGCAAUUGAAAUAGAGAUAUUCAUUCAUUUUACAUAGCAAUGUAUUUUUUUACAUGUAUUUCUUUCCAAAUGUAUUAUGUUUAUUACUGGUCUUCCUUUACAUACUUAUUGACCUUUUAUACUUACAUUAUAUUUGGGUGUUGUAUUCAGUUUUUUGCUGUGCUACAGGACAAACGCAGGGGUCAUCCAGCCAUUUUCUUUACCCACUUAUCCUGUUUGGGGUUGUGGGGGGUCUGGAGCUUAUCCUGGGAGCUAUAGGUACAAGGCAGGGAAUAACCCAGUAGGGGGCACCAAGCCAUCACAGGGCACACCCACACACUCUUCACAUCUGUGGCCAAUUUGGCAACUCUCAGUCAUCUCAGCAUGUUUCUGGACUGUGUAGGGAAACCAGUGUACCUGGAUGAAAUGCUAUGUUGAAAUGCAAUCAUUCAUUGCAAAUUUCCCACUUGUGGGACUAAUAAAGGAUUACCUUAUCUUA